UACGUAGGGGGCAAGCGUUGUCCGGAAUUAUUGGGCGUAAAGAGCGCGUAGGCGGUCCGGUAAGUCGGUUGUGAAAGUCGGGGGCUCAACCCUCGGAUGCCGAUCGAUACUGUCGGGCUAGAGUCCGGAAGAGGCGAGUGGAAUUCCUGGUGUAGCGGUGAAAUGCGCAGAUAUCAGGAGGAACACCGGUGGCGAAGGCGGCUUGCUGGGCCAGUUCUGACGCUGAGGAGCGAAAGCGUGGGGAGCGAACAGG
Molecule: ribosomal RNA, 253 nt
Filed under: uncultured bacterium
Lineage: Bacteria
Description: partial 16S ribosomal RNA
Rfam family: Bacterial small subunit ribosomal RNA
Source: RNAcentral